RNAcentral lists this unclassified non-coding RNA (365 nucleotides) under Hevea brasiliensis (rubber tree). Lineage: Eukaryota; Viridiplantae; Streptophyta; Magnoliopsida; Malpighiales; Euphorbiaceae. The record is from RNAcentral.
AAUUGGAGUAUACUCUUUCAGGACAAUGUUGCACUAAUACAAAUUAUUACUGUCAAUGUGCAUGCGAAAUCUAAAAACAUUACUUUUGUGCCUAAUCCUAAACAAUUUCUUGUAUAGAGCAAAAGAAACUAACUAGCAGGAUGGUAAUUGCACACAUUGAAAUAGAUUCGAAUACCAAUAACACAAAACAUAACAAAGACCUCUUGUAUCUGUUGAUCAGGCAUUGACUGUUAAAAUCUCACUUCAUAUUUACACUUUUAGAACCUUCAAAUCGAUUUAGAAGUUUUUUCAGAAUGAGAUCAUCAUUGAGUGCUAUGCGUAUUACCAAUUCGGUGGUUGUGGCAUCUGCAAAGAAUCCCUUAUCA